GACGAACGCUGGCGGCGUGCCUAAUACAUGCAAGUAGAACGCAGUUGCGAACGGGUGAGUAACGCGUAGGUAACUGCCUCAUAGCGGGGGGUAACUAAUGGAAACGAUAGCUAAUACCCCAUACUGGGAGAUGGACCUGCGUUGUAUUAGCUAGUUGGUGAGGUAAAGGGUCACCAAGGCGACGAUACAUAGCCGAGCUGGGAGGGUGAUCGGCCCCACUGGGACUUGGGCACGGCCCAGACUUCUACGGGGGGCAGCAGUAGGGAAUUUUUGGAAAUGGACGGAAGUCUGAACGCGCAAAGCCGCGUGAGUGAAGAAGGUUUUUGGAUCGUAAAGCUCUGUUGUUAGAGAAGCGUUAACUAACCAGAAAGGGACGGCUAACUACGUGCCAGCAGCCGCGGUAAUUC
Molecule: ribosomal RNA, 407 nt
Filed under: uncultured bacterium
Lineage: Bacteria
Description: partial 16S ribosomal RNA
Rfam family: Bacterial small subunit ribosomal RNA
Source: RNAcentral